Molecule: long non-coding RNA, 2742 nt
Organism: Brachypodium distachyon (stiff brome)
Lineage: Eukaryota; Viridiplantae; Streptophyta; Magnoliopsida; Poales; Poaceae
Exons: 7
Source: RefSeq, a predicted model, not a curated record
UAUAUUUGCUGAUUGUUGUGGAAAAGAAUCAAUAGAUCUUGUAGAUAAGUGAUAACAUGCGAUCUUUCUAAUGAGAGAUAUUAUCGAGAACACCUUGAAAGAUAUUAUCAGAGAGGGAAGAAUAUCUCAGCACCAUUACUAAGAUGUAUAAAUUGGAAAAUAACUGGUCUGUGGGUCCUGAUGCCACUUGUCAGUGAUAUUGAAGUUAUUUUUCAUCUGCCAUGAUUGUAGUGUCACUAAGCAAUUUGUACAGUCUAUUUUCUGCAAAUUGAACAUGCAGAUACAUACUUGAAAACUAUUCAGUCAUGCAACAUGAGCAUAUAUAAUGCAACCAAUAUUUACUUGCUGGGCGUUAUUUGUCGCUUAUAUAGAACUUACUGUUAAAUAGUCCAAAAUCCUGAUGCCCAAAAUGUCCUUUGUUCCCAUGCCCAUUCUCUUUCACACCUUUGGCAGAUUUAUGCUCGGUCACACUUUGGGUAGAUAUAUCAGCUGCCAAUGCAUUAGGUACCUAAUGUGCACACAGAAACUAUGUUGAAGUAAAUUACCCUACAACCUUGUUUGCCUCGGCCAGAAUAUAUCUCCAAUCUGAUUCUUGAUAGCAGGGACAAAAUUGAAUCAUUUUUCAGAAUUUGUGGAAGCAUUCUUUCAUUCUGAAACCGUGGACAUGAACUCCCCUGCGAAGUCUCCCUUGAUUGGGAAUAGAUGUCUCGCAAGUAAAACAUGUUACCAGCAUGCAUUAGCGGUUUACUGAAACAUCGUGGAGCAAAAUACAUGACGCUAUCUCGUGAUUUAUCUGAAUCCUUUGGAUGUGUUGCAUGAUAUUCCUAUGACACCUCUUAAUGGAAACAUGCAAUCUUACGUUCUAUCUUUAACGAAAUUUAGUUAUUAAAUCGCAUAUCUGUUUUUGUUGGAUGGACGUUAUUCUACCAUUUUUUCUUCUUGAAACUAGGUGUCCUCUGAAUGUUCUGAAACCAAGUCGACGUUAUCGCCGGUUUCUGAUUUAAUUAAUGAAGAAAAAACUUCAGAGGAUGAUGACAAGCAAACCAUUUCAGCAGAUGAUGAUAAGCAACCAGACGUACCUCAACAUACAAAUGACGGGACAUAUGACUAUCUCCCGCAAGAUUACGCAUUGACCGAACUGGAUCUGUGUGCUCAUUUAGUAAUCGAAGACUCUUCAGAAGAAGAAAUAUUGGUGAAGAUAGAUCAAGUAUAUGUCAAACAGUGAUUUGAUUUGCCUGCUAGAUAGUGCCAAAUGGCUAAAUGAUGAUGUAAUCAGCGCGUAUAUAUAUUGUAUAAAGGAAGUGCAUGAGCAAAAUAAGAAUGAUCAUAAAGUAUAUUUUGAAAAUACCUUUUUAACCGGACUGUUGAAACGGGAUGGUGAAAUUGGAAUACAUGAAACAACCUUUAUGACAAAGAUUGUCAGAGACUAUCUCAAGCAUGACAUGAUUCAUCUUCCAAUAAACAUCACGCACACGCAUUGGUAUUUAGCUUGUGUCAAUGUUGAGAAGUCUGAGAUACAAGUACUCGACUCAUUAUGUUGGGAGCACAACCGAGUUGACCUCACUAAUACGGUUAGUUGCGUAUAACUAUUUUCUGGAAAGAAAUGUUAUAACUUGAUCUUUCCACUUGCGUGUGUUAUUUUACCCCUAAUGAUUUUACAGCUGCAAGGACCUUCUUCCUGUCGCUGCACACUUACCUUACUGGCAUGGCAUGACACGAGAAUCCUAAUGAGUACUGCUAGGAACAAAAGAAAGUUGCAUAUUUCUCUCUGCUCCGCAAUUUUUGUCUAAGCAUUCUCAUUUCCAUUUUCUAUAUUUAUGAUUUAACCUCAGUGAUGUCUAAUGAUUAGGUAGGCAGUUUUGUUUUACUGUUGUGCAUCUGACGACUGUCCUAGGUCUCCUUUUCUGCACAUAUAUUUAGGUUGGUUACAUGUCAUUCAAGCAGAUACAAGAAAAUUUGCUGGAUAAUUGUUUGACUGAAGAUGUUUCAAGCGAGAACUGAGUCAACUGAGUUCUUGUAAAGACCCUGACCUGACUGGUAGUGUUAGUUUAUAUGUAUAUUUAUGCCUUCUGUAAUCAGAAUUUUCCAGGAGCCUUCCCUGUUUCUUUCCUGGACAUGCCUUCUGGUUUAUGGUCAUGGAUGCAAACACUUUUAGAAUGGAUACAUAUUGGGCUUCUUGAUUCUGCCUUUUGAUCUGUAGUAUCCAGCAAUCAGCUAGGCGAAGGAACGUUGGCGGGCACUGGAGUUAGAAGAUGUUCGUUCCCUGCUGAGCCAAUGCAUCUCUUCUUUGGAGGUGUAUAUCUAUCAGGUGCCGGAUGUGUUCCCGGUUCUCGCCAAGUCGAGGGAGGCGCUGGCCACGAGGACCCUGCACUCGGAGCUUGUCUACAACUACUCCGGCUCCAGGCAUAUAACAGAGUCCCUGAAGGCUGAAGCGAUGUGGUAUCGCUGAUGACACAGUACAUGUACAUCCUUGCGGCACGGUUUGAUGCUUCGCAUGCAGAGGAGCUCGAUAACAGUCUUCCCAGUCAAUACCAUCAGAGGGGCCUGUUUUCUGUCUCGUCCGACAGUUCAGAGCAUUUGACGUCUCAGCCGGACGGUCGCCCUGAAUCUCAUGAUUCCUGCAAUCUAUUCUCUUUUGCCCUUUCUUCUUCCUAAUAAUCUUUUGCGGUGGAUCUGUUGCAUCAAGGAAAGUACAAUCAUCAUAUGUUCAGGCAGACAUACUUGAAUACUUCACUACUUCAA